This 460-nucleotide ribosomal RNA is filed under the name uncultured bacterium. RNAcentral describes it as "partial 16S ribosomal RNA". It matches the Rfam family "Bacterial small subunit ribosomal RNA", at positions 28 to 507 of the family's 1533-position model. The record is from RNAcentral.
GACGAACGCUGGCGGCGUGCUUAACACAUGCAAGUCGAGCGGUAAGGCCUCUUUUGGGGUACACUAGCGGCGAACGGGGGAGUAACACGUGGGUGACCUUCCCUGGUCGCGGGGAUAAGCGUGGGAAACUGGGCCCAAUACCGGAUAUGACCUUUCGUGGCAUGGGGUUUGGUGUAAAGUUUUUUCGGCUUGGGAUGGGCCCGCGUCCUAUCAGCUUGUUGGUGGGGUGAUGGCCUACCAAGGCGACGACGGGUAGCCGGCCUGAGAGGGCGACCGGCCACACUGGGACUGAGACACGGCUGGGAAUCAUACGGGAGGGAGCAGUGGGGAGUAUUGCGCAAUGCGCGGGAGUGUGAAGGAGCGACGCAGCGUGGGGGAUGACGGCUUGCGGGUUGUAGAACUAUGUCGACCCCGACGAAUUUUGACGGUAGGGGUAGAAGAAGCACCGGCCAACUACGUG